Molecule: long non-coding RNA, 852 nt
Organism: Lolium rigidum
Lineage: Eukaryota; Viridiplantae; Streptophyta; Magnoliopsida; Poales; Poaceae
Exons: 4
Source: RefSeq, a predicted model, not a curated record
CUAAAAAGCAACAGCACCCUCUCCAGUAACCCUAGAUCGCCUCCAUUCCUCAAGCAGCGCCGCCAUUUUCCUUCCCUGCAAGAAAAACACCGCCGAGACAAAACCUCCUGCCGCCGUCUACCCUCACCGUCGUCGCCAUGUUCACCGGCGCGCCCACCUGAUCCGUGGAACGGAGCCACCGUGUCAUCCUCCACGCCCUCGUCUGCUUCAAGGAACCUGUGACAUCAAGAUCUGCACGAGAUCGACCUCUUCUCUGCAUCAUCUAGCUACUUCACGGGCGUCUCCUUCUUCUUCGACUCCGACCAGGCGGCCCCCCUCUACUUCCUUCCUCCUCGACGAACCAGGGCCUGAUCAUCCAUGGCUACAAGAAAUCGUUCAUACAUGGGAGUCCUCAAGGUUCCAAGCCUGCUACGUUUGCUAUUUCUCAUGCUCCUCCUCUUGGCUCCUGGCCUGAUCAUCCAUGGCUACAAGAAAUCGUUCAUACAUGGGAGUCCUCAAGGUUCCAAGCCUGCUACGUUUGCUAUUUCUCAUGCUCCUCCUCUUGGCUCCUGGCUCUCAUGCUAAGACUUGCAAGGAGGCCAGCAAGACCUAUACCACUGUUUCUUGCCGUGAUGAUCCAUGUGCUGAGGCCUGCCACAAGGAGGGAUUUAUUGACGGGAGGUGUUACCUAAUCGACAACUAUCCUAUUGAGAAGCUAUGUUACUGCGAUAAAGAGUGCUGAAUAAAAACAUGUUGAAACUACCGCAUAUCAUGCGAUGCAAAAGUAAUAAGAUGGUGUAUUGAAAACUAGUAAGCGUGCACGUGUGUUGCCCGAACCAUAUUCUAUACUAAAAACAUCUAUUUUGAAUCUUC